AAAAACCAAAUUUUUCUAUCACCUCUGAACACGACUUGAGUUGACUCGAGUUCACCAAGUCACUUGAAAUGUUCAGUUCUCUACUUGUCAAACAAAGGAGAGCUAUUAAAAUGAGUAUCAUUGAUUUGGUGCUCUCUGUAUCAGAGUCUUGUGCCCUGAGCGAGGGAGAACAACAGAGUUACUGACUGCCUGUCUCCCUGUCUGCCAGACUUCCAGCACAAUGCGCACACACACAGUCCAAUCACUGGAAUCUAUUUAUGGGUCCCAAAUGGCACCCUAAUUCAUAUAUAGCGCACUUGUCUUUGGUCAAAAGUAGUGCACUAUGUAGGGAACAGGUAGCCGUUUGGAACACACAUGAAAUCUAUUGCAUCACACUGUAUGACAGCUUCCGUUUCCAGCUGUUGGCAAAGUAUCAAGGCAUUGUCUGUCAGUGUCACAGCUGCGCUAUCAAUCCUGUUUUUUUUUUAUUACAUCGCUUUACCUGGUGGUGGACAGUAGAGGGCAGUAUAUUUCUCCGAGGGAGACGCUCGCAACUCGACUCGCUUCCUUCCACAGCACAGGAGUUCAGAUGUUUGGAGAUAUAUAUAGUGAUUUAAAUAUGCCAAGUGAGAAUGCUAGUAGGCCACACGAGGCGAAUCUAGACAUCGUCAUUCCUGAAAUCUAAAUAGCAGAUCGGGAUCAACAGACGACUACGCUAGUUAAUAAGUGCGACCGAUAUGAGAAAGAUUAAAGAUUGUUGUCCACCAUUGAUGCCUUUCAGAGAAUACAUACAAUAGAGACAUCUGGACGAUCAGUCACUCCAUCUAGCAGACACCUGGACCAUCAGUCACUGAUAUAGCAGACAUCUGGACGAUCAGUCACUCCAUCUAGCAGACAUCUGGACCAUCAGUCACUGAUAUAGCAGACAUCUGGACCAUCAGUCACUCCAUCUAGCAGACAUCUGGACCAUCAGUCACUCCAACUAGCAGACAUCUGGACCAUCAGUCACUCCAACUAGCAGACAUCUGGACCAUCAGUCACUCCAUCUAGCAGACAUCUGGACCAUCAGUCACUCCAUCUAGCAGACAUCUGGACCAUCAGUCACUCCAACUAGCAGACAUCUGGACCAUCAGUCACUCCAUCUAGCAGACAUCUGGACCAUCAGUCACUCCAUCUAGCAGACAUCUGGACCAUCAGUCACUCCAUCUAGCAGACAUCUGGACCAUCAGCCAGAUAUCAUCUCAAUAUCACAAUGAGUACGUUUACAUGCACACUAAUAAUCCAAUAUUAAACUGAUUAUAGCUGAAGGCAGAGUAUUGCAUUAGUCAUGUAAACACUUUACUCUGCGUAUCUUAAUCGGCGUAAGGUGAAAAUCGAAGUAAGCAUACGCCGAUUAAAACACCUGGUUUUCUGAUCCAUCUUUCAGGUCAUUAAUAAUCGACGUUCAAGGUGUGUAUUUGAUCUGCGCAAGUGCUAGCACCAGCCGAGAGCCUCCCUCUUUACAAGCCAGUGAAGUGAGUUCGGAAACAACUGAAUGUAGCGUGGCAGAAGUCGUUUUUAAAUACAAACUUUACAUGUCCGAACUCAGAAUCAAUAUGCUUCUCAAAAAGAACGUUUGCUGUGGUAGAACGUUUUAUUUGUAUUUUUUCUGCAUUUAUCAGAGCGCCAUCAGGUAGCCUGAUCUCAGAUCUGUCCAGGUAAACUGGGUGAUUUCAGAUCUCUCCAGGUAAACAGGAUGAUUUCAGAGCUGUCCAGGUGAACAGGAUGAUUUCAGAGCUGUCCAGGUAAACAGGAUUAUUAACAGGAUUAUUCAUCGAACUACACUGAACAAAAAUAUAAACGCAACAUGUAAAGUGUUGGUCCCAUGUUUCAUGAGCUGAAAUAAAAGAUCCCAGAAAUGUUCCAUGCGCACAAAAAAGCUUUUUUCUCUCAAAUGUUUGUCUCUCAAAUGUUUGACGUCCAUGUCCAUGUUUGUCGUCCAUGUCAGUGAGCACUUCUCCUUUGCCAAGAUAAUCCAUCUAACUGACAGGUGUGACAGGUGUGGCAUAUCAAUAAAAUGAUUAAACAGCAUGAUUAUUACACAGGUGAACCUUGUGCCGGGGACAAUAAAAGUCCCCUCUACAAUGUGCAGUUUUGUCACACAACACAAUGGAACAGAUGUCUCAAGUUUUGAGGGAGCGUGAAAUUGGCAUGCUGACUGCAGGAAUGUCCACCAGAGCUUUUGCCAGAUAAUUAAAUGAUAAUUUCUCUACCAUAAGCCGCCUCUAAAGUAGUUUAGAGAAUUUGGCGUUACGUCCAACAGGCCUCACAACUGCAGAUCACGUGCAUGGCGUUGUGUGGGUGAGCGGUUUGAUGAUGUCAUCGUUGUGAACAGAGUGCCGCAUGUUGGCGGUGGGGUUAUGGUAUGGGGCAGUGGUGUAAAGUACUUCAGUAAAAAUACUUUCAAUUACUACUUAAUUCGUUUUUUGGGGUAUCUGUACUUUACUAUUUAUAUGUUUGACUACUUUUACUUCACUACAUUCCUAAAUAAAAUAAUGUACUUUUUACUCCAUGCAUUUUCCCUGACACCCAAAAGUACUCGUUACAUUUUAAAUGCUUAGCAGGACAGGAAAUGGUCCAAUUCACGCAAUAAUCAAGAGAACAUCCCUGGUCGUCCCUACUGUCUCUGAUCUGGAGGACUCACUAAACAGAGAACAUCCCUGGUAAUCUCUACUGCCUCUGAUCUGGAGGACUCACUAAACAGAGAACAUCCCUGGUCAUCCCACCUGUCUCUGAUCUGGAGGACUCACUAAACAGAGAACAUCCCUGGUCAUCCCUACUGCCUCUGAUCUGGAGGACUCACUAAACAGAGAACAUCCCUGGUCAUCCCUACUGCCUCUGAUCUGGAUGACUCACUAAACAGAGAACAUCCCUGGUCCUCCCUACUGCCUCUGACCUGGAGGACUCACUAAACAGAGAACAUCCCUGGUCAUCCCUACUGCCUCUGAUCUGGAGGACUCACUAAACAGAGAACAUCCCUGG
Molecule: long non-coding RNA, 3000 nt
Filed under: Salmo salar (Atlantic salmon)
Lineage: Eukaryota; Metazoa; Chordata; Actinopteri; Salmoniformes; Salmonidae
Description: lncRNA (ENSSSAG00000120430.1)
Source: RNAcentral